This is a long non-coding RNA of Papaver somniferum (opium poppy), 1725 nucleotides long. RefSeq lists it as uncharacterized. The record is from RefSeq and is a predicted model, not a curated record. The transcript has 3 exons. Lineage: Eukaryota; Viridiplantae; Streptophyta; Magnoliopsida; Ranunculales; Papaveraceae.
GAGAGAGUUACAGGGAGUCUUUGUGUUUAUACAAAACGAAACACAAGACUGAUAGAAUCACAGAUCCAACAAUCACAAAGAAGGAUAUGGAAGAAGAAAGUGUUGAAAGAAAAUUAGUCAUGAAUCAAUGAAGAAAAGCAAGAAGAAGAAGAACAAAACGGAUGAAUUAUGUUUGUUAAGGCAAGUAGUGUGGUGUACCCUGGAAUCUCUCAAUCACCUAAGUCAAGUAACAAAUAGACUCUCAACAAACCUGAAGACUCAACAACCAAGUCGUUAUCUUGACUUUGAAUAUCCUGUUAUCUCAAAGUACUCAUCUCUAAUAUAAAUACAAGUGUUUUAUCACCACAAGUUCUAUGGAAGAUAUUCUACCCAAAACCUAAAUAUCAAGUUCUAACUAUGUUGAAAUACUUGGUAUAGGCGGAAUCGGAAAUGUGGUUUUCGAAAGCGUCGGAUAUAUCUAAUGUGCUUCUACUCAAUAUUUUCAAGAGAGAUACAGAUGCAACUACUCAACAUAUCUUCGUCUUGGUUGCGCUAUUCUUGAUUUAUUAUUGGAUCGCCAAAAUUCAAAAAGGAAACCUCAACAGAGUAGAACGGAACAAGCUGAAUCAUCGGGCAGAGAUAUCCAACUAAUCAACCUAAGGAUAUUAUAAUUAUUCAACUUCUUGGCAUGGCUGACGACUUCAUUGAGGGUGGUGGUGAAGUUGAUGCUUGUAAGGAUGAUUGUAAAGUUACUUCUCCUAAAAGUCCAUCUCCUGAUGCCCGUCUCUAAUUUCAAAGAUGAAUCACGUAGGAUUUCUUCGCAUUAGAUGAACGUUAUAAAAAAGCUACACUGACAGGGAGCGGAAGGAUCUUGUGAAAUUUCGGACUACUGAAAAGCAUCAGGUAAAUUGAGAACUCUGUGAUGUUCACCCAGUAAGUUUCCUCUUUAAGUUCAACAUAUCUACUUAGGAUUCCAACCGAUAGCUUCUACUGGUGUCUACACCAGAUUUCUUCAAUUUUGUUUUCUUGUAUGUGGUGUUUAAUUUAUGUUGGUGCCAGUAGCCAAUUGGCAGAGCAAAAUCGUCCAAAUCAAUAAUAACGUGACCUUUGCAUAGCGAUUCUCUGUGCGCAUCAUAAUUUUAGUAAAUAUGUGAUUUUAUGCUUAGUUAAGCUGGUUCUUCCUCAAACACUUGACCACUUGUUUCCGUCUUCAUUUGUGUUGUUUAACAACCAAAGUAUCUGUGUUUGGGUACUUAUCAAUUCAGAUUUCAUCUUCGGUUACUUAGAUUUCAAAUAAAUUCAGCUCCUACAGUUGCUACCUUACACAUGGAGGAUCUAUGAUAUAAACUGUAUUUAAUGCAUUUACUGUUCUUUAUUGCUUCAAUCCAUCCCCGUGAGUAUUCUAUUCAUACUUUUCUCCAUCAGGCUACAUUGACAGUUUAUCUCGGAGGCUCAAACUCCUCCAGUAUGCGAACCUGUUCUUGUGUGCAUAUUUUGAUUGUUUCUAUCAGGGGCGAAUGGUUCACGAACAACGGAAAAUUUUGUGCUCUUUGAUACGGAAGGAAAAGCUCUCCCUGCAGCAUUGGCAGUGUUUACAAGAUGUCACAUUUUUUUUAUGUUUGUAAGUUAUUGAAAAAUUCUGGUUGAUGCUGUGAAACACUUGCAAGUUAUGUUUCAUGUAUCUAUUUUAUGAAAUUACAGUUGCUAGCAAGCUGAAUUGGCAGUGGGCUACUUCUGUAGUAAGAA